GACGAACGCUGGCGGCGUGCCUAAUACAUGCAAGUAGAACGCAGUUGCGAACGGGUGAGUAACGCGUAGGUAACUGCCUAUUAGCGGGGGAUAACUAUUGGAAACGAUAGCUAAUACCGCAUACUUUGAGAUGGACCUGCGUUUGAUUUGCUAAGUGGUGAGGUAAAGGCUCACCAAGGCGACGAUACAGAGCCGACCUGAGAGGGUGAUCGGCCACACUGGGACUGAGACACGGCCCAGACUCCUACGGGAGGCAGCAGUAGGGAAUCGUCGGCAAUGGACGAAAGUCUGACCGAGCAACGCCGCGUGAGUGAAGAAGGUGUUCGGUUCGUAAAGCUCUGUUGUUAGAGAAGCGGUAACGGAAUAGAAAGCGACGGCUAACUACGUGCCAGCAGCCGCGGUAAUAC
This 407-nucleotide ribosomal RNA is filed under the name uncultured bacterium. RNAcentral's name for it is "partial 16S ribosomal RNA". It matches the Rfam family "Bacterial small subunit ribosomal RNA", at positions 28 to 526 of the family's 1533-position model. The record is from RNAcentral.